GCCGUGAUCGUAUAGUGGUUAGUACUCUGCUUGUGCCGCAGCAACCCCGGUUCGAAUCCGGGUCACGGCA
This 70-nucleotide transfer RNA is filed under the name Dallia pectoralis (Alaska blackfish). Its description in RNAcentral is "tRNA-OTHER". It matches the Rfam family "tRNA". From Rfam's summary of the family: Transfer RNA (tRNA) molecules are approximately 80 nucleotides in length. Their secondary structure includes four short double-helical elements and three loops (D, anti-codon, and T loops). The record is from RNAcentral. Lineage: Eukaryota; Metazoa; Chordata; Actinopteri; Esociformes; Umbridae.